RNAcentral lists this long non-coding RNA (718 nucleotides) under Cicer arietinum (chickpea). Its description in RNAcentral is "long non-coding RNA (CARI_LNC000190)". Lineage: Eukaryota; Viridiplantae; Streptophyta; Magnoliopsida; Fabales; Fabaceae. The record is from RNAcentral.
ACCAUAGAUGGAAGGUGUAUCUAGUGUCUGUGUCCAACAUCAACAAUGGUUACAUUCAAUAACUUCAAUUUUUGUUAAAUAUCAUCAGUAUCUACGUGUCUCUGUGUGUUGAUAUUUCAUUGAUGAUAAAGAAUCCUAAUUUUUUAAACUAUUAUCAGUAUCUAUCUUUAUGUAUUGUGUCAGGUAUCAGUGUCUUUGUUGGUGUUUCAUAGAUAUUAAACAUAAAUGAGUUACCUGGGUAGAUCUCAAAACUUCUCCAAAGGCUCCAUUAACUAGUUUUUGCCUAUUCUCCUCAGGAAUUUCUUCAAACUCGGCAAUGACUUGAUGGUGUUGCAGGAUUCCCUUUCCCUUUGCUUCAAUCCUUUUAACACCAUAUAAGAUUUUGAAUGUUAUUUUAAAUCCUUACAACAAAAUUAGUAAUCAAGAACAAAAAAAUUAUUAAAAAAAAAAAUAUAUAUAUAUAUAUAUAUAUAUAUAUAUAUAUAAUUUAAGCAAAAUACCUUGAGAGAAGGGCCAAAAUUUCAUUCCUGUGACCAGUGAGAAUUUCAUCAGGUGUUGCAGGAUUCCCUUUCCCUUUGCUUCAAUCCUUUUAACACCAUAUAAGAUUUUGAAUGUUAUUUUAAAUCCUUACAACAAAAUUAGUAAUCAAGAACAAAAAAAUUAUUAAAAAAAAAAAUAUAUAUAUAUAUAUAUAUAUAUAUAUAUAUAUAUAUAAUUU